RNAcentral lists this ribosomal RNA (483 nucleotides) under uncultured bacterium. RNAcentral's name for it is "bacterial SSU rRNA". It matches the Rfam family "Bacterial small subunit ribosomal RNA", at positions 359 to 833 of the family's 1533-position model. The record is from RNAcentral.
GAGAUUUUCGCAAUGCCCGAAAGGGUGACGAAGCGACGCCGCGUGCGGGAAGAAGGCCUUCGGGUUGUAAACCGCUGUCGGGAGUUAAGAAAUGUAAGGAUGUUAAUAGCAUCUUUACUUGUCUAAGGCUCCGGAGGAAGCCACGGCUAACUCUGUGCCAGCAGCCGCGGUAAGACAGAGGGAGCGAGCGUUGUUCGGAUUCAUUGGGCGUAAAGGGCAAGUAGGCGGUUCGUUAAGUCGGGUGUGAAAUCCCUCCGCUCAACGGAGGAACUGCAUUCGAGACUGACGGGCUUGAGGGGUGGAGAAGCGAGUGGAAUUCUCGGUGUAGCGGUGGAAUGCGUAGAUAUCGAGAAGAACUCCAAUGGCGAAGGCAGCUCGCUAGACACCCCCUGACGCUGAACUGCGAAAGCCAGGGGAGCAAACGGGAUUAGAUACCCCGGUAGUCCUGGCCGUAAACGAUGGGCACUAAGUAGAGGGGUUUUA